GACGUAGGGCGCAAGCGUUGUCCGGAAUUAUUGGGCGUAAAGAGCUCGUAGGCGGCUUGUUGCGUCGACUGUGAAAACCCGUGGCUCAACCAUGUGGUCUGCAGUCGAUACGGGCAGGCUAGAAUUCGGUAGGGGAGACUGGAAUUCCCAGUGUAGCGGUGAAAUGCGUAGAUAUUGGGAGGAACACCAGUGGCGAAGGCGGCUCACUGGACCGGUACUGACGCUGAUGCGCGAAAGCGUGGGGAGCAAACGGG
This 254-nucleotide ribosomal RNA is filed under the name uncultured bacterium. RNAcentral's name for it is "partial 16S ribosomal RNA". It matches the Rfam family "Bacterial small subunit ribosomal RNA", at positions 524 to 776 of the family's 1533-position model. The record is from RNAcentral.